Molecule: long non-coding RNA, 1099 nt
Organism: Salvia splendens (bonfire salvia)
Lineage: Eukaryota; Viridiplantae; Streptophyta; Magnoliopsida; Lamiales; Lamiaceae
Exons: 3
Source: RefSeq, a predicted model, not a curated record
UCAAGAAUGAGAGUGAAGGAUAUACUUCUUUUAAAUGAACACUAAGGAGUAAAGAUACAAGAAUGAUCCAAUUAGUACAAUGUUACAAAAUUGAAGGAGAUAAUAUUUCUCCAUGUACUCUAUGUCUCAGAUGUACAUUCUUAGCUUUGCACAAAAAGGGAACAAGAGCCAAGAUUAUAAGAAUUUCUACUUUAGAAAGAAAGCAUAGAGAAUGAUAUGAGCAAAGACUCCAUCUCUUAUCUCUCUCGAUUUUCCUUCCACAAAGCUCCAAGGAGGCAGUUGUUGUACCUACAAUAUUUACACCAAAAGGGCAUCAAAAUUUUGUCACAUAAAAAAAGGAGAAAGGAGACACAAGCCAAAGAGGAUAGGGGAAUGGAAACCUCUCAUCGAGGCUGGAGAAACUGCCAAGGAGGGGCUGUUUUCUCCCAAGAAUUUCACCAUUCUAGCAUAAUCACAGAAUCACAAAACUCAAAAAGGAAGCCAACACUGCAGCCUCAAAAUAGAAAUUGGAGCUCCCCAAUGCCUUACACCAAGGAGGCAAGAGGCUUAUGUGAUGCUAAAAAGGGGAAGGAACCCAUAGCUUGAAAUAGAAGAGCAUCCUUCCCAAUGCUAACACCAAAGGGGUAGUAAAAGCUUUUAUCACAAAUCCAAAAGUGAAGGAAUCUUUAUCCCAAAUUAGACACAAAAUGCCAAGGAGUUUUGGCUAUAAAUACCAGCCCACCACCACCUCCUUCCUCACACCUCUCUAAAUUCACAAAUUCACAAGAAGUGCAGCAAGAGAGGAAGGAGUGGCGGCGAGCUUAAGGGCAGUCCGGUGUUCGAAGGAGUCAUCGAGAAAGAGGUUAUCUCCGCGAGCUAAGGUCGGAGUCAGGAAAAAUCAAAUUAAGGAGUUUUAAGCGAACGAGGUUGAGCAGUGAUGACGCCAGGCGGUGUUGAGCAUAGACGAUGAAGAUCCUUCGAUAAGAAUAGUACUCGGAUGCGGCGUGUCUCCAUACACGACGUCAUCUACUCUUGACUCUUCCGCUGCAAUGUAAAAAAAUCGAGUUUGCACUCUGUAUCAUGCACUCUGAUAUAUACUAUUUGAGUUAUUUUGGUUCAA